This 643-nucleotide long non-coding RNA is filed under the name Homo sapiens (human). Its description in RNAcentral is "HSALNT0295305". Lineage: Eukaryota; Metazoa; Chordata; Mammalia; Primates; Hominidae. The record is from RNAcentral.
UUCAUAUUUUUUGUAGAGAUGGGAUUCAACAUGUUUCCCAGGCAAUCUGAAAGCAAAUCCUGUUUAGAUGCAGGCGAAGGUUCCUGGUGACCCAGGCUCUCACCUUACCGUCCCUUACCGUCCUCCUGAGGGUGUCCUGGAGCUUCAGUGCUGUGUGUUCUUGGCCUCCACGCUGGGGGUGCCACCAACUCCCACUGUCCAGGGCUUCCAGUGGACUCUCCGAGGUACUGAUGUAGAAACUUCCCCAUUCGGUGCACCAAGAGCAACCUCACACGGUGUGGGCCGAAUGAAGAGCUGCCAGAUCCCACAGAAAUGUGAUUGAUAACAGUAAAGCCACACUCCUCAAGUGCCUGAAAUACCCCUCAUUGUCUUCUUCAGGUGGCAAGGGCUCUGGAACAGCCACAUAAAGGCUGAUGACUUCAGGGACAUGAGCAUGGGAUACCUGUCAUCACCACCACCAUAAAGUUGGGAUUCAGGAAGGAGGUUAAUCAUAUAAAGAAUCCUGUGACCAGUAUGAGCUUCUCUCAGGCCACACAGGGCACUCAAGUGAACAGGGCAUGGGGGCCCUGGGGUCAUGGUAAGAAAGUGUCUCAUUGGUAAAACCUUUUCCUCUGGGGAGGUAAAUAAAUGAUUUGUUUCUUCU